GGAUGACCUCGGAUCAGGUAGGGAUACCCGCUGAACUUAAGCAUAUCAAUAAGCGGAGGAAAAGAAACCAACAGGGAUUACCUCCAAAAGGCGAUAGAAACGGCAAAAGGGGAGUUCAAAGUCGUAACAAGGGAAUGGAACAGUGUAGCGGCAUGAAAGUAAAACCAGG
Molecule: ribosomal RNA, 169 nt
Filed under: Podosphaera spiraeae
Lineage: Eukaryota; Fungi; Ascomycota; Leotiomycetes; Helotiales; Erysiphaceae
Description: partial 28S ribosomal RNA
Rfam family: Eukaryotic large subunit ribosomal RNA
Source: RNAcentral